Molecule: RNA transcript, 1606 nt
Organism: Argentina anserina (silverweed cinquefoil)
Lineage: Eukaryota; Viridiplantae; Streptophyta; Magnoliopsida; Rosales; Rosaceae
Gene name: cell division control protein 2 homolog
Exons: 6
Source: RefSeq, a predicted model, not a curated record
AUACAAGACAGCAGGUUUCAAAGACAAUGGUGGUUGUUGGUCAGAUUAAAGGGUUCACUAUCUCAUUAGUUUAUGCGAUCCAACUGGAGACUUGUUUGUGUAUUUUUCAUCUUUGAUGUUUGAAACUAUUGUAGUAUGAGUUCGACGAAGAGGACAUUAUCGGAGCAGGAGCGUAUGGUCAUGUGUUUAACGGUACUCAUACUCCAACUAAGAAAUCGGUGGUGCUGAAGCGUAUUCAGCUAAAGGAAGAUGCUGAAUUUACUGUUUCCAUGCUUUGAGAGUGCUAUAUUCAUAUGGAGCUUAAGCACCCCAACAUACUCGGGUUGGAUUGUGUUUUAGUCUCUGCUGGUUGCCUCUACUUGGUUUUAGAGUAUAUGAACUGGGAUUUGAGGGUGGAACUUGCAGCGAACAAAGAAAAGUACAAGGAUGGGAAAAGAGUAAACAAAUUCAUGAAAAGUCUUCUGUCUGGGCUAGCAUUUUGCCAUUCACAUGACAUUUUGCAUCGAGAUAUAAAGCCCUGCUAGUCUCUGGUGACGAGUUGAAGAUUGCAGACUUUGGAUCUGCCAUUCACUACCCAUAGUUCUACCAGUGAUAGUCCCAGUCUUACUCCAGCUUUGUAUCUCUUCCUUCCGUUCUUGCAAUUGAAAAAAAAAAAAGAUUGUUUGAUUAACUCUGUGUGUGUGUGUGUGUCUAUCUCUCUCUCCCUCAACAACCCCCCGGGCAGGUUGUGACAGUUGACUACAGAGCACCAGAAGUCUUGCUGGGUUCUACUGUCUACUCAAAAGCAGUUGACAUAUGGGCUGCAGGUUGUAUACUUGGUGAAAUGUUGAGCCUGACUCCUCUUUUUGGUCUUGAUGUGGACGCUGAAUAUGAAUCUGUGCUGGAAUGUGAGAAGGAAGUUCUUGGAAAAAUUUUCAGGUUACUGAUCAGAUGAUUAUAGGUUUUUGGGUACCCCGGAGGAAAACAACUGGCCUGCACUGUCAAAAUUAAAGUUUUCUGACCACUUUCAGUUCCCUGGAGACGAACCACUGGGCUUGGAAAAGUUGGUUCCAGGACUAGAUGCUCUCCCAGAUGCAAAAGAUCUUCUGUCGAAGCUGCUGUGCCUGAACCCUCAAGCUAGAAUUUCAGCUGAAGAUGCUUUGAAGCACCCUUACUUUUCAGACGCUGCUGAGCCUAAAUCCUCAAGCUAGAAUUUCAGCUGAAGAAGCACCCUUACUUUUUCCGGGGUCUGAGUUUAGAUUAGAAAACAUCUUGGAUAUAACUACAUGGCCACAUCUCUAUUAGCAAAAUAGUGUUACUUUGAUAUUGCUAAUAUUAGGGCUUCUUGGGCAAACAGAAAUGUUGCUGAUACUAAUAGUAGGGUAUUGUGGGCAAACUGAAAAGAGAUACAGUUAAGCUCGCUUCUCAGGUAUGGAUUGGCUUGCGGACACGAGAGUAGUUUUGAGUACGUUUUAGUUCAGUUCUUAUAUUGAUAUUGAUGUUCAUAGCUAUCCUCUGAUUUCAGCAGUUCUCAUUUUGUCGGUAAUAGUACUCUGCCCAUGUUAAAGACCUAAGCUUCCUCACAUUGUAGAAUGCAGACUUCCAUUUUGGUGGCUUUCUUAGAUUA